UACGAAGGGGGCGCGCGUUGUUCGGAAUUACUGGGCGUAAAGGGCGCGUAGGCGGCCGAGCAAGUUAGAUGUGAAAGUCCUGGGCUUAACCUGGGGACUGCAUUUGAUACUGCUUGGCUUGAAUUCGGGAGAGGAUAGCGGAAUUCCCAGUGUAGAGGUGAAAUUCGUAGAUAUUGGGAAGAACACCGGUGGCGAAGGCGGCUAUCUGGACCGACAUUGACGCUGAGGCGCGAAAGCGUGGGGAGCAAACAGG
This 253-nucleotide ribosomal RNA is filed under the name uncultured bacterium. Its description in RNAcentral is "partial 16S ribosomal RNA". It matches the Rfam family "Bacterial small subunit ribosomal RNA", at positions 524 to 776 of the family's 1533-position model. The record is from RNAcentral.